This 880-nucleotide ribosomal RNA is filed under the name Mallocybe arenaria. RNAcentral's name for it is "partial large subunit ribosomal RNA". Lineage: Eukaryota; Fungi; Basidiomycota; Agaricomycetes; Agaricales; Inocybaceae. The record is from RNAcentral.
AACUAACAAGGAUUCCCCUAGUAACUGCGAGUGAAGCGGGAAAAGCUCAAAUUUAAAAUCUGACAGUUGUUUUGGCUGUCCGAGUUGUAAUCUAGAGAAGUGUCUACCCGCGCUGGACCGUGUACAAGUCUCCUGGAAUGGAGCAUCAUAGAGGGUGAGAAUCCCGUCUUUGACAUGGAUCUACCAGGGCUUUGUGGUGCACUCUCAAAGAGUCGAGUUGUUUGGGAAUGCAGCUCAAAAUGGGUGGUAAAUGCCAUCUAAAGCUAAAUAUUGGCGAGAGACCGAUAGCGAACAAGUACCGUGAGGGAAAGAUGAAAAGAACUUUGGAAAGAGAGUUAAACAGUACGUGAAAUUGCUGAAAGGGAAACGCUUGAAGUCAGUCGCAUCGACUGGAAAUCAACCUUGCUUUUGCAUGGUGUACUUUCUGGCUGAUGGGUCAGCAUCAAUUUUGAUUGCUGGAUAAAGGCUUGGGGAAUGUGGCAUCUUUGGAUGUGUUAUAGCCCCUGGCUGCAUACGGCAGUUGGGAUUGAGGAACUCAGCAUGCCGCAAGGCCGGGUCUUUUUGACCACRUAUAUGUGCUUAGGAUGCUGGCAUAAUGGCUUUAAUCGACCCGUCUUGAAACACGGACCAAGGAGUCUAACAUGCAUGYGAGUGUUUGGGUGGAAAACCCAUGCGCGCAAUGAAAGUGAAAGUUGAGAUCCCUGUCGUGGGGAGCAUCGACGCCCAGACCAGACCUUUUGUGACGGAUCUGCGGUAGAGCAUGUAUGUUGGGACCCGAAAGAUGGUGAACUAUGCCUGAAUAGGGUGAAGCCAGAGGAAACUCUGGUGGAGGCUCGUAGCGAUUCUGACGUGCAAAUCGAUCGUCAAAUUUGGGUAUAGG